AGUGAACGCUGGCGGUAGGCCUAACACAUGCAAGUCGAACGGCAGCACAGUAAGAGCUUGCUCUUACGGGUGGCGAGUGGCGGACGGGUGAGGAAUACAUCGGAAUCUACUUUUUCGUGGGGGAUAACGUGGGAAACUUACGCUAAUACCGCAUACGACCUACGGGUGAAAGCAGGGGAUCUUCGGACCUUGCGCGAUUGAAUGAGCCGAUGUCGGAUUAGCUAGUUGGCGGGGUAAAGGCCCACCAAGGCGACGAUCCGUAGCUGGUCUGAGAGGAUGAUCAGCCACACUGGAACUGAGACACGGUCCAGACUCCUACGGGAGGCAGCAGUGGGGAAUAUUGGACAAUGGGCGCAAGCCUGAUCCAGCCAUACCGCGUGGGUGAAGAAGGCCUUCGGGUUGUAAAGCCCUUUUGUUGGGAAAGAAAAGCAGCAGGUUAAUACCCCGCUGUUCUGACGGUACCCAAAGAAUAAGCACCGGCUAACUUCGU
Molecule: ribosomal RNA, 490 nt
Filed under: uncultured bacterium
Lineage: Bacteria
Description: partial 16S ribosomal RNA
Rfam family: Bacterial small subunit ribosomal RNA
Source: RNAcentral